RNAcentral lists this ribosomal RNA (662 nucleotides) under bacterium SCSIO13003. Its description in RNAcentral is "bacterial SSU rRNA". It matches the Rfam family "Bacterial small subunit ribosomal RNA", at positions 61 to 702 of the family's 1533-position model. The record is from RNAcentral.
GUCGAGCGGAAACGAGUUGUCUGAACCUUCGGGGAACGAUAACGGCGUCGAGCGGCGGACGGGUGAGUAAUGCCUGGGAAAUUGCCCUGAUGUGGGGGAUAACCAUUGGAAACGAUGGCUAAUACCGCAUAAUAGCUUCGGCUCAAAGAGGGGGACCUUCGGGCCUCUCGCGUCAGGAUAUGCCCAGGUGGGAUUAGCUAGUUGGUGAGGUAAUGGCUCACCAAGGCGACGAUCCCUAGCUGGUCUGAGAGGAUGAUCAGCCACACUGGAACUGAGACACGGUCCAGACUCCUACGGGAGGCAGCAGUGGGGAAUAUUGCACAAUGGGCGCAAGCCUGAUGCAGCCAUGCCGCGUGUAUGAAGAAGGCCUUCGGGUUGUAAAGUACUUUCAGCAGUGAGGAAGGUUCAUGUGUUAAUAGCGUAUUGAUUUGACGUUAGCUGCAGAAGAAGCACCGGCUAACUCCGUGCCAGCAGCCGCGGUAAUACGGAGGGUGCGAGCGUUAAUCGGAAUUACUGGGCGUAAAGCGCAUGCAGGUGGUUUGUUAAGUCAGAUGUGAAAGCCCGGGGCUCAACCUCGGAAUUGCAUUUGAAACUGGCAGACUAGAGUACUGUAGAGGGGGGUAGAAUUUCAGGUGUAGCGGUGAAAUGCGUAGAGAUCUGAA